RNAcentral lists this unclassified non-coding RNA (362 nucleotides) under uncultured fungus. Its description in RNAcentral is "partial contains 5.8S ribosomal RNA, internal transcribed spacer 2, and large subunit ribosomal RNA". The stretch from base 1 to 52 matches the Rfam family "5.8S ribosomal RNA", at positions 103 to 154 of the family's 154-position model. The record is from RNAcentral. Lineage: Eukaryota; Fungi.
AACGCACCUUGCGCCUUUUGGUAUUCCGAGAGGCAUGCCUGUUUGAGUGUCAUUAAAUUCUCAACCUCAGAAACUUUUGUUGAUGAGGCUUGGAUGUGGAGGUUUUGCAGGCUUUUUCCAAAGUCAGCUCCUCUGAAAUGCAUUAGUGGAAACUGUUUGUAGUCCGCAUUGGUGUGAUAAUUAUCAGCGCUAUUGUAACUACAAGCUUGGUGUAGUGUUCGACUUGGAAAGUGCAUGAAUAGUGCUCUCUCUGCUUCAUUUGACCUACGCAAGUAUAGUAUUCGCUUCAAACCGUCCUAAGUUACUGGACAAUACUUGAUUAUUUUGACCUCAAAUCAGGUAGGACUACCCGCUGAACUUAA